RNAcentral lists this signal recognition particle RNA (264 nucleotides) under candidate division Zixibacteria bacterium CG_4_9_14_3_um_filter_46_8. RNAcentral describes it as "signal recognition particle sRNA large type". It matches the Rfam family "Bacterial large signal recognition particle RNA". Rfam says of the family: The signal recognition particle (SRP) is a universally conserved ribonucleoprotein involved in the co-translational targeting of proteins to membranes. Archaeal SRP consists of a 7S RNA and homologues of the eukaryotic SRP19 and SRP54 proteins. In most bacteria, the SRP consists of a 4.5S RNA and the Ffh protein (a homologue of the eukaryotic SRP54 protein). The record is from RNAcentral. Lineage: Bacteria; Pseudomonadati; Candidatus Zixiibacteriota.
AUGUGCUAGGCGGGGAGCCAGCGGUGCCCUGUAACCCGGAAUCCGCUAUACCGGGGUCGAAUUCCCACCCGAGGCCCAAAGCGGUCUGUGAACCUGGCGCAAGUGGCGUUGAUGGCCGGGUCCCGCACAACCGAAGAUCGCUAAACCCCGUCAGGACCGGAAGGUAGCAGCGGUAGGCGGACCCUAGGUGUGUUGCGGGGAAACUCGGUCUGAGUUAACUGCGUUGGGACACCCUCUAGUAGAGGGUCAGAGGUGGGUGCACGU